Molecule: ribosomal RNA, 498 nt
Filed under: uncultured bacterium
Lineage: Bacteria
Description: partial 16S ribosomal RNA
Rfam family: Bacterial small subunit ribosomal RNA
Source: RNAcentral
AUUGAACGCUGGCGGCAUGCCUUACACACGCAAGUCGAACGGUAACAGGUCUUCGGAUGCUGACGAGUGGCGAACGAGUGAGUAAUACAUCGGAACGUGCCUAGUAGUGGGGGAUAACUACUCGAAAGAGUGGCUAAUACCGCAUGAGAUCUACGGAUGAAAGCAGGGGAUCGCAAGACCUUGUGCUACUAGAGCGGCCGAUGGCAGAUUAGGUAGUUGGUGGGAUAAAAGCUUACCAAGCCGACGAUCUGUAACUGGUCUGAGAGGACGAUCAGCCACACUGGGACUGAGACACGGCCCAGACUCCUACGGGAGGCAGCAGUGGGGAAUUUUGGACAAUGGGCGCAAGCCUGAUCCAGCAAUGCCGCGUGCAGGAUGAAGGCCUUCGGGUCGUAAACUGCUUUUGUACGGAACGAAAAGCCCCGGGUUAAUACCCUGGGGUCAUGACGGUACCGUAAGAAUAAGCACCGGCUAACUACGUGCCAGCAGCCGCGGUAA